UAUUUACCGAACUAUUUGACACGGUCGCGUCAACUGUGUUUACGAGUGUCUUGUGUUCAGAUUGUUUUAAGUGAUAAUUUAACAAUAUUUUUCCAAAUAAAUGGAAAGAAACUUUUAUUUAUAUCAAAUAAUUGAGUGUCUCGACUGUGUGACAUUAUGUCUUGUGUGGUAUGGGGCUGCAGCUCACAUUCAGGAAGAAAAGAAAAUAGCCAACAACUUCUGUCGUUUCAUCGAUAUUAAAUCCAAAAGUGUCGACUGGAUUUACAUGAAAAGUCAGUUCAAGAAGACGAGAUGAAAAAUUUAAAAGAAAAGCUGAACAAGUCCCGCCUCAAGAUCAAACGACUUAAUGAAAAAAAAAAAACAAUGUGACAGGGUGUCACAAAGACAGUUUCUAAGCAAAUUGACACUGUUUAGAAAUUAAUAAAUGAC
This is a long non-coding RNA of Pectinophora gossypiella (pink bollworm), 429 nucleotides long. RefSeq lists it as uncharacterized. Lineage: Eukaryota; Metazoa; Arthropoda; Insecta; Lepidoptera; Gelechiidae. The transcript has 3 exons. The record is from RefSeq and is a predicted model, not a curated record.